This 253-nucleotide ribosomal RNA is filed under the name uncultured bacterium. RNAcentral describes it as "partial 16S ribosomal RNA". It matches the Rfam family "Bacterial small subunit ribosomal RNA", at positions 524 to 776 of the family's 1533-position model. The record is from RNAcentral.
UACAGAGGCCUCAAGCGUUGUUCGGAAUUACUGGGCGUAAAGGGCUCGUAGGCGGUCUGUCGCGUCGGGAGUGAAAACUCAGGGCUUAACCCUGAGCCUGCUUCCGAUACGGGCAGACUAGAGGUAUGCAGGGGAGAACGGAAUUCCUGGUGUAGCGGUGAAAUGCGCAGAUAUCAGGAGGAACACCGGUGGCGAAGGCGGUUCUCUGGGCAUUACCUGACGCUGAGGAGCGAAAGCGUGGGGAGCGAACAGG